This 253-nucleotide ribosomal RNA is filed under the name uncultured bacterium. Its description in RNAcentral is "partial 16S ribosomal RNA". It matches the Rfam family "Bacterial small subunit ribosomal RNA", at positions 524 to 776 of the family's 1533-position model. The record is from RNAcentral.
UACAGAGGUCUCAAGCGUUGUUCGGAUUCAUUGGGCGUAAAGGGUGCGUAGGUGGCGCCGUAAGUCGGGUGUGAAAUUUCGGAGCUUAACUCCGAAACUGCAUUCGAUACUGCGGUGCUUGAGGACUGGAGAGGAGACUGGAAUUCCUGGUGUAGCGGUGAAAUGCGCAGAUAUCAGGAGGAACACCAAUGGCGAAGGCAGCUCGCUGGGACGUGACUGACGCUGAGACGCGAAAGCGUGGGGAGCAAACAGG